UCCUUAUGCAACAUGAAAGUUCUGUUGUCAGUUCUCAAUGAAGCCAUCAGAUCUUCCUGACUGCUGCCUAACACAAGAGCACAGGACUCCUGUAUCAUUCCCUGAGGAUUCAGAAAUUUGAUCAAAUAGAGAUUUUCAGGAAUUGCCUUCCAAUCAAUUUCCUGAGCAAAAAUCAUCACAGAAGAUUUCUGUGACCAAAUAUAUAGGGGUUUUUCUCCACCAAUAAGCAAUCAAUUCUGCAGUGGACAUCAUCUGGGAAUCCUCCAAUUCAACAUCUGACACUAUCCACCUGGAGAUAGCAUCAGAUCCCACAGGUUGAAGGCACAGUCUUCAUGACCACCUCCACUCUUCAGACACCAAUUUUAAGUCUGGGCCUCCAGAACAUCUGACCAACUGGGGUUCUCACAACCCCUCUUUGGAUUCAAUUAAUUUCCUGGAGUACCUCACAGAACUCAGGGAAACAUUUAUUUGUGUUUAUUUGUUUAUUGUAAAGGAUAUUUUAUAGACUACAAAUAAAGAGCCAGAGAUACUUAGGGUGAGGUCUGGAAGGGUCUUGAGUGUAGCAGUUUCUGCCUCCAUGGAGGUAGAGUGCACCACCCUUCUUACAUAUGGAUGAGUUCUUGUUCAUCUCCCUGUAGGUCUCCCCAUGUUUAGCUCUCUGGAAGCCCCUGAAUCCCGUCCUCUCAGGCCUUAUAUGGAGACUUCAUUGGAUAGGCAUGAUUGCAUCACGGACAACCAUGUCACAAUGUGACUGGACAAAAAGGGUAUGAUUUAAACUCAGCAAAGGCCAAACUGUUCAGAUUCUUCACUCCUUUCUGUGCAGCAUUCCUUCCUCCAGGGUAUGGGGCAGGAUCUUCUCUAGAAUGAGGGUCUUAUGACCCACAAUCAGAUUAGAGUCCUGUCUUGGAAAGGUGAAAGAAAGGAGGGCAGGAGGAGGUUAGAGGGAAAGAUUCUCUUUAUUGUAACAAAGGCUAUGGGAGUUUAACCCCAGGAACUGUAGAUGAAAAUUGUCAUAUUAUGAUAAAUCAAACAAAAACUGAGUUCUUGUAAUAGCUUUGAAAUAGUCUCAAAUGCUUCUAAAUAACACUGAUAUUAUAAAAUAGGUCUAAUGGGACAUUGAAAAGCCUGGUUGUUUCUGAUGUUAGGAUUAAUAAGUAAAAACAAAAAAGAAACUGAUUGGCACCUAAAUAUAAAUAUCCUGGUCAGGAUUUAAAAAA
This 1217-nucleotide long non-coding RNA is filed under the name Homo sapiens (human). RNAcentral's name for it is "HSALNT0315509". The record is from RNAcentral. Lineage: Eukaryota; Metazoa; Chordata; Mammalia; Primates; Hominidae.